CGGUUAAAACGCUCGUAGUUGGAUAUUUGUAGAGAACUGCCGGUCUACCCCAGUGGUCAGCACACGGUCUGUUCUCGGCACUUUCCUGGGGAGAGUGUUUGCACUUCACUGUGUGGCACAUGAUCCAGAACUUUUACUUUGAGGAAAUGAGAGUGUUUCAAGCAGGCGCCUGUCGUGAAUACGUUAGCAUGGAAUAAUAGCAUGGGACCGCGGUCUGAAGCUGUUGGUUUUUGGGCCGUGGUAAUGAAAAUAGGGAUAGUUGGGGGUAUUCCUAUUUAACUGUCAGAGGUGAAAUUCUUGGAUUUUUUAAAGACGGACUACUGCGAAAGCAUCUGCCCAGGAUGUUUUUAUUGAUCAAGAACGAAAGUUAGGGGAUCGAAGACGAUCAGAUACCGUCCUAGUCUUAACCAUAAACCUUGCCGACUAGAGAUUUGGGUCGUCAGAAUCGUGACGCCCUGAGCACCUUAGGGGAAACCAAAGUCUUCGGGUUCCGGGGGGAGUAUGGUCGCAAGGCUGAAACUUAAAGGAAUUGACGGAAGGGCACCACCAGGAGUGGAGCCUGCGGCUUAAUUUGACUCAACACGGGGAAACUUACCAGGUCCGGACAUAGAGAGGAUUGACAGACUGAUAGCUCUUUCUUGAUUCUAUGGGUGGUGGUGCAUG
Molecule: ribosomal RNA, 663 nt
Filed under: uncultured eukaryote
Lineage: Eukaryota
Description: SSU rRNA
Rfam family: Eukaryotic small subunit ribosomal RNA
Source: RNAcentral